CUCGCAAAAUACCAGUCGCUAGAGCAACACCUUUUUGUCCUGAAGUUGCACCAUACUCCCAACAGAUAUCCGCUGCCGUAACCGGACCGACGGGCGUGCGGUGUUGUUACUUUAACUGGUCGAUCGCGUCUCGAGAGUGUCAUCACCUAAAGGGUAUAUACAGUAGACUCUCAAGUCUACUGUGUAUAUAUAUAUAUUACACCAUGGGGUCAAUUUAAACGGCGUGAAUAGGAAAAUUAGACACUUAUCAGCCAUGCCGCUUUGACAAGAUCACUCCAGUUGUCAUUAAGUACUACUUUAUAAUCAACAAGGCCAAAGCAAAAUUUUGUUGUAAUUUGCAUUUAAGUCUAAAAGAUUGUAAAGGCAUUUUAUUGCGUUCC
Rhipicephalus sanguineus (brown dog tick) is the source of this 380-nucleotide long non-coding RNA. RefSeq lists it as uncharacterized. Lineage: Eukaryota; Metazoa; Arthropoda; Arachnida; Ixodida; Ixodidae. The transcript is spliced from 3 exons. The record is from RefSeq and is a predicted model, not a curated record.